CUGCCCGUAUGCCUGGGGUAACCGUUGGAAACGAUGGCGAACACCGGAUAGGUGAAUUGAAGGCAUCUUUGAUUCAUUAAAGUUGGGAUACGACGCAUAUGGAUGAGCUUAUGGGGCAUUAGCUAGUUGGUGAGGUAACGGCUCACCAUGGCUAUGAUGCGUAGGCGACCUGAGAGGAUGACCGGCCACACUGGAACUGAGACACGGCCCAGACUCCUACGGGAGGCAGCAGUGAGGAAUUUUCGACAAUGGAGGAAACCCUGACCCAGCCACGCCGCGUGAGGGAAGAAGGCCUUCGGGUUGGAAAGCUCUGUUGGAAGGGAAGAA
RNAcentral lists this ribosomal RNA (327 nucleotides) under uncultured bacterium. Its description in RNAcentral is "bacterial SSU rRNA". It matches the Rfam family "Bacterial small subunit ribosomal RNA", at positions 126 to 449 of the family's 1533-position model. The record is from RNAcentral.